This 390-nucleotide ribosomal RNA is filed under the name uncultured bacterium. Its description in RNAcentral is "bacterial SSU rRNA". It matches the Rfam family "Bacterial small subunit ribosomal RNA", at positions 28 to 416 of the family's 1533-position model. The record is from RNAcentral.
GACGAACGCUGGCGGCGUGCUUAACACAUGCAAGUCGAGCGGUAAGGCCCUUUCGGGGGUACACGAGCGGCGAACGGGUGAGUAACACGUGGGUGACCUGCCCUCAGCUCUGGGAUAAGCCUGGGAAACCGGGUCUAAUACUGGACAUGACUCCAUGACGCAUGUUGUGGGGUGGAAAGCCUUGUGCGGCUGAGGAUGGGCCCGCGGCCUAUCAGCUUGUUGGUGGGGUGAUGGCCUACCAAGGCGACGACGGGUAGCCGGCCUGAGAGGGCGACCGGCCACACUGGGACUGAGACACGGCCCAGACUCCUACGGGAGGCAGCAGUGGGGAAUCUUGCGCAAAUGGGCGAAAAGACCUGACGCAGCGACGCCGCGUGAGGGAUGACGGCC